This 838-nucleotide ribosomal RNA is filed under the name Piscibacillus sp. RNAcentral's name for it is "bacterial SSU rRNA". It matches the Rfam family "Bacterial small subunit ribosomal RNA", at positions 586 to 1426 of the family's 1533-position model. Lineage: Bacteria; Bacillati; Bacillota; Bacilli; Caryophanales; Bacillaceae. The record is from RNAcentral.
AGUCUGAUGUGAAAGCCCACGGCUCAACCGUGGAGGGUCAUUGGAAACUGGGGAACUUGAAGACAGAAGAGGAGAGCGGAAUUCCACGUGUAGCGGUGAAAUGCGUAGAGAUGUGGAGGAACACCAGUGGCGAAGGCGGCUCUCUGGUCUGUGCUUGACGCUGAGGCGCGAAAGCGUGGGGAGCGAACAGGAUUAGAUACCCUGGUAGUCCACGCCGUAAACGAUGAGUGCUAGGUGUUAGGGGUUUCCACCCUUAGUGCUGCAGUUAACGCAAUAAGCACUCCGCCUGGGGAGUACGGCCGCAAGGCUGAAACUCAAAGGAAUUGACGGGGGCCCGCACAAGCGGUGGAGCAUGUGGUUUAAUUCGAAGCAACGCGAAGAACCUUACCAGGUCUUGACAUCCUCGGACCACCCUAGAGAUAGGGUCUUCCCUUCGGGGACCGAGUGACAGGUGGUGCAUGGUUGUCGUCAGCUCGUGUCGUGAGAUGUUGGGUUAAGUCCCGCAACGAGCGCAACCCUUGACCUUAGUUGCCAGCAUUUAGUUGGGCACUCUAAGGUGACUGCCGGUGACAAACCGGAGGAAGGUGGGGAUGACGUCAAAUCAUCAUGCCCCUUAUGACCUGGGCAACACACGUGCUACAAUGGAUGGUACAAAGGGCAGCAAAACCGCGAGGUCGAGCAAAUCCCAUAAAGCCAUUCUCAGUUCGGAUUGUAGGCUGCAACUCGCCUGCAUGAAGCCGGAAUCGCUAGUAAUCGUGGAUCAGCAUGCCACGGUGAAUACGUUCCCGGCCCUUGUACACACCGCCCGUCACACCACGAGAGUUGGUAACACCCGAAG